Molecule: ribosomal RNA, 253 nt
Filed under: uncultured bacterium
Lineage: Bacteria
Description: partial 16S ribosomal RNA
Rfam family: Bacterial small subunit ribosomal RNA
Source: RNAcentral
UACGGAGGGUGCAAGCGUUGUUCGGAAUCACUGGGCGUAAAGCGCGUGUAGGCGGCCUCCUCAGUCUGGUGUGAAAGCCCGGGGCUCACCCCCGGAAGUGCAUCGGAUACUGGGAGACUGGAGUACCGGAGAGGAGGGUGGAAUUCCUGGUGUAGCGGUGAAAUGCGUAGAUAUCUGGAGGAAUACCGGUGGCGAAGGCGGCAUCCUGGACCGACAUUGACGCUGAGGAGCGAAAGCUAGGGGAGCAAACGGG